GGGGUUCGGACUUCACUCCCAACCCCUGUGACAUACCACUUGUUGCCUCGGCGGAUCAGCCCGCUCCCGGUAAAACGGGACGGCCCGCCAGAGGACCCCUAAACUCUGUUUCUAUAUGUAACUUCUGAGUAAAACCAUAAAUAAAUCAAAACUUUCAACAACGGAUCUCUUGGUUCUGGCAUCGAUGAAGAACGCAGCAAAAUGCGAUAAGUAAUGUGAAUUGCAGAAUUCAGUGAAUCAUCGAAUCUUUGAACGCACAUUGCGCCCGCCAGUAUUCUGGCGGGCAUGCCUGUUCGAGCGUCAUUUCAACCCUCAAGCACAGCUUGGUGUUGGGACUCGCGUUAAUUCGCGUUCCCCAAAUUGAUUGGCGGUCACGUCGAGCUUCCAUAGCGUAGUAGUAAAACCCUCGUUACUGGUAAUCGUCGCGGCCACGCCGUUAAACCCCAACUUCUGAAUGUUGACCUCGGAUCAGGUAGGAAUACCCGCUGAACUUAAGCAUAUCAAUAAGCGGAGGAA
Molecule: ribosomal RNA, 516 nt
Filed under: Fusarium oxysporum
Lineage: Eukaryota; Fungi; Ascomycota; Sordariomycetes; Hypocreales; Nectriaceae
Description: eukaryotic LSU rRNA
Rfam family: 5.8S ribosomal RNA (bases 150-303)
Source: RNAcentral